This 740-nucleotide ribosomal RNA is filed under the name Tsukamurella strandjordii. RNAcentral's name for it is "bacterial SSU rRNA". It matches the Rfam family "Bacterial small subunit ribosomal RNA", at positions 75 to 831 of the family's 1533-position model. The record is from RNAcentral. Lineage: Bacteria; Bacillati; Actinomycetota; Actinomycetes; Mycobacteriales; Tsukamurellaceae.
GCCCUUCGGGGUACACGAGUGGCGAACGGGUGAGUAACACGUGGGUGAUCUGCCCUGUACUUCGGGAUAAGCCUGGGAAACUGGGUCUAAUACCGGAUAUGACCUUCUCCUGCAUGGGGGUUGGUGGAAAGCUUUUGCGGUACAGGAUGGGCCCGCGGCCUAUCAGCUUGUUGGUGGGGUAAUGGCCUACCAAGGCGACGACGGGUAGCCGGCCUGAGAGGGCGACCGGCCACACUGGGACUGAGACACGGCCCAGACUCCUACGGGAGGCAGCAGUGGGGAAUAUUGCACAAUGGGCGCAAGCCUGAUGCAGCGACGCCGCGUGAGGGAUGACGGCCUUCGGGUUGUAAACCUCUUUCAGUAGGGACGAAGCGCAAGUGACGGUACCUACAGAAGAAGCACCGGCCAACUACGUGCCAGCAGCCGCGGUAAUACGUAGGGUGCAAGCGUUGUCCGGAAUUACUGGGCGUAAAGAGCUCGUAGGCGGUUUGUCACGUCGUCUGUGAAAACCCGAGGCUUAACCUCGGGCCUGCAGGCGAUACGGGCAGACUUGAGUACUGUAGGGGAGACUGGAAUUCCUGGUGUAGCGGUGGAAUGCGCAGAUAUCAGGAGGAACACCGGUGGCGAAGGCGGGUCUCUGGGCAGUAACUGACGCUGAGGAGCGAAAGCGUGGGUAGCGAACAGGAUUAGAUACCCUGGUAGUCCACGCCGUAAACGGUGGGUACUAGGUGUGGGUCCCU